Molecule: ribosomal RNA, 275 nt
Filed under: uncultured Eubacteriales bacterium
Lineage: Bacteria; Bacillati; Bacillota; Clostridia; Eubacteriales
Description: uncultured Clostridiales bacterium partial 16S ribosomal RNA
Rfam family: Bacterial small subunit ribosomal RNA
Source: RNAcentral
AGGAAGGAAAGCUUGCUUUUCUUGACUUAGUGGCGAACGGGUGAGUAACGCGUGAGUAACCUGCCCUGGAGUGGGGGACAACAGUUGGAAACGACUGCUAAUACCGCAUAAGCCCACGGCUCGGCAUCGAGCAGAGGGAAAAGGAGUGAUCCGCUUUGAGAUGGCCUCGCGUCCGAUUAGCUAGUAGGUGGGGUAACGGCCUACCUAGGCGACGAUCAGUAGCCGACCUGAGAGGGUGAUCGGCCACAUUGGAACUGAGACACAGUCCAAACUCC